UACGUAGGGCGCAAGCGUUGUCCGGAAUUAUUGGGCGUAAAGAGCUCGUAGGCGGCCUGUCGCGUCCGCUGUGAAAUCCCGGGGCUCAACCCCGGGCCUGCAGUGGAUACGGGCUGGCUGGAGGCAGGCAGGGGAGAACGGAAUUCCUGGUGUAGCGGUGAAAUGCGCAGAUAUCAGGAGGAACACCGGUGGCGAAGGCGGGUCUCUGGGCAGUAACUGACGCUGAGGAACGAAAGCGUGGGUAGCGAACAGG
This 253-nucleotide ribosomal RNA is filed under the name uncultured bacterium. RNAcentral describes it as "partial 16S ribosomal RNA". It matches the Rfam family "Bacterial small subunit ribosomal RNA", at positions 524 to 776 of the family's 1533-position model. The record is from RNAcentral.